GGGUGAGUAACACGUAUCCAACCUGCCUCAUACUCGGGGAUAGCCUUUCGAAAGAAAGAUUAAUAUCCGAUAGCAUAUAUUUCCCGCAUGGGUUUUAUAUUAAAGAAAUUCGGUAUGAGAUGGGGAUGCGUUCCAUUAGUUUGUUGGCGGGGUAACGGCCCACCAAGACUACGAUGGAUAGGGGUUCUGAGAGGAAGGUCCCCCACAUUGGAACUGAGACACGGUCCAAACUCCUACGGGAGGCAGCAGUGAGGAAUAUUGGUCAAUGGACGCGAGUCUGAACCAGCCAAGUAGCGUGAAGGAUGACUGCCCUAUGGGUUGUAAACUUCUUUUAUAUGGGAAUAAAGUGGUCCACGUGUGGAUUUUUGUAUGUACCAUAUGAAUAAGGAUCGGCUAACUCCGUGCCAGCAGCCGCGGUAAUACGGAGGAUCCGAGCGUUAUCCGGAUUUAUUGGGUUUAAAGGGAGCGUAGGCGGAUUGUUAAGUCAGUUGUGAAAGUUUGCGGCUCAACCGUAAAAUUGCAGUUGAUACUGGCAGUCUUGAGUGCAGUAGAGGUGGGCGGAAUUCGUGGUGUAGCGGUGAAAUGCUUAGAUAUCACGAAGAACUCCGAUUGCGAAGGCAGCUCACUGGAGUGUAACUGA
Molecule: ribosomal RNA, 640 nt
Filed under: uncultured Bacteroidales bacterium
Lineage: Bacteria; Pseudomonadati; Bacteroidota; Bacteroidia; Bacteroidales
Description: bacterial SSU rRNA
Rfam family: Bacterial small subunit ribosomal RNA
Source: RNAcentral